CAAUAGCGUAUAUUAAAGUUGUCGCAGUUAAAAAGCUCGUAGUUGAAUUUUUGCUUGCCGCCGAUGUCGGAACUUCCGUACGUUCGGCGGCGUGCAUCCUUGGGUGGAACCUGUGUGGCAUUAGGUUGUCGUGCAGGGGAUGCUCAUCGUUUACUGUGAAAAAAUUAGAGUGUUCAAAGCAGGCUUACGCCGUUGAAUAUAUUAGCAUGGAAUAAUAAGAUAGGACCUUGGUACUAUUUUGUUGGUUUGCGCACCGAGGUAAUGAUUAACAGGGACAGUUGGGGGUAUUCGUAUUCCAUUGUCAGAGGUGAAAUUCUUGGAUUUCUGGAAGACGAACUACUGCGAAAGCAUUUACCAAGGAUGUUUUCAUUAA
This 373-nucleotide ribosomal RNA is filed under the name uncultured eukaryote. RNAcentral describes it as "partial 18S ribosomal RNA". It matches the Rfam family "Eukaryotic small subunit ribosomal RNA", at positions 592 to 976 of the family's 1831-position model. The record is from RNAcentral.